GGGCAAGAUGAUCAGAUAUAGUAGUCACCGGGGACGUUGACAUUCAGCAGGGGAGAGUGUAACCAGGUUGAAAAGUUGUGUCAAACACAAAACUGUUUUUACCCCCCCCCCUGGGUUAAAUGUACUGCACACACAGUAUGUUUUCAUGCUUUUCUCAUCUGUUGCCAUAAGGUGAUGCUGGCCCUUUAAGAAACACGGCUGUGUGAGUGUCGUGAAGUGCUGCGAGAGCUACAAAUGAGCAGCACGAGUUAUAUUAGUGCAGGGUGAAUGUUCCGCCUAAAAUAGAUGUUCGUCAUCAUUAAAAUCACAAAAUACCGAGAAAUAUGCACAGGCAGUGAAUUAUAUACUCGUUCUCAGUGUGAUGUGAGUUCGGAUGGCUGUGUAGUUUUGCAUACCGACAACUAUUGCUGACGAACUGUUCAGUGUGGGGGAGCUAACUGUUUCUCAAGAUAUUUCAAGCGUAAGUGUUGACGAUAUAAUCUGUAUCGGUGUACUGUUAAAAAAGAACUUCUUUUGUGCAUAAUCUAAUGCAAACCAGUGUUACUGAAACAUGGUUAUUUUGUUUAGAGGGGAGAAAAGUGCUCCAUAGGCCCUUUGUGUUUCCGGUGCGAGUGUAAAGCAUCCAAGUGAGUGUUCACUUUUAUUGAUUGUAACAGUGUUUAUUAGUGCUUCCUUGGAAUGAGUGUAAUAGUAUCAUUGUUCUAAUUCAAUGUGUUCCAAAUGUUAAGGAAAAGUUUGAAUGUUGUCCCUUUAUCAUCUGCAGAGGGAAAUCGAGUCAGCAACUGGCCCUGUUAAUGUGUACAUGUGUUUAAGAGGUGAUGAGUUCAUGAAAGGCUACUACCGUUGUCUUUGUUAGCAAAUAUUGUGGUGGAAAAGAAGUGCACUCAUUUUGAUGUGAAGAUCAAACUUUAUUUUUUCCUACUGGCUGUAAUCACAUUUAUAUUUUUCUGUCACUAUUUUCCAAAGUUUUCAUACUUAAUGCUGCACUGCUCCAAGUGCAGUCUGGAAUAAAAGACCCCAUUUAAAUUUUU
Molecule: long non-coding RNA, 1031 nt
Organism: Megalobrama amblycephala (Wuchang bream)
Lineage: Eukaryota; Metazoa; Chordata; Actinopteri; Cypriniformes; Xenocyprididae
Exons: 2
Source: RefSeq, a predicted model, not a curated record